CUAGGCAGGCCUGUAACUCUGUG
This 23-nucleotide non-coding RNA is filed under the name Cricetulus griseus (Chinese hamster). Lineage: Eukaryota; Metazoa; Chordata; Mammalia; Rodentia; Cricetidae. The record is from RNAcentral.